AUAGAUUUCCAUUGAUUGCUGUGU
RNAcentral lists this non-coding RNA (24 nucleotides) under Cricetulus griseus (Chinese hamster). Lineage: Eukaryota; Metazoa; Chordata; Mammalia; Rodentia; Cricetidae. The record is from RNAcentral.